AGAAUCAACGCUGGCGGCGUGCCUAACACAUGCAAGUCGCACGAGAAAGGGGAGCAAUCCCUGAGUACAGUGGCGCACGGGUGAGUAACACGUGAAUCAUCUACCUUCGAGUGGGGAAUAACUGGGAGAAAUCUCAGCUAAUACCGCAUAAUACCCACGGGUCAAAGCAGCAAUGCGCUUGAAGAGGAGUUCGCGGCAGAUUAGUUAGUUGGCGGGGUAAUGGCCCACCAAGACGAUGAUCUGUAUCCGGCCUGAGAGGGCGCACGGACACACUGGAACUGAAACACGGUCCAGACUCCUACGGGAGGCAGCAGUGGGGAAUUUUGCGCAAUGGGGGAAACCCUGACGCAGCAACGCCGCGUGGAGGAUGAAAUAUCUUGGUAUGUAAACUCCUUUCGAUGGGGAAGAUAAUGACGGUACCCAUAGAAGAAGCCCGGCUAACUUCGUGCCAGCAGCCGCGGUAA
RNAcentral lists this ribosomal RNA (464 nucleotides) under uncultured bacterium. Its description in RNAcentral is "SSU rRNA". It matches the Rfam family "Bacterial small subunit ribosomal RNA", at positions 26 to 523 of the family's 1533-position model. The record is from RNAcentral.